CAGCACCUCAAGUGGUCAGGAUGAUUAUUGGGCCUAAAUCAUCCGUAGCCGGCUCUGUAAGUUUUCGGUUAAAUCUGUACGCUUAACGUACAGGCCGCCGGGAAUACUGCAGAGCUAGGGAGUGGGAGAGGUAGACGGUACUCGGUAGGAAGGGGUAAAAUCCUUUGAUCUAUUGAUGUCCACCUGUGGCGAAGGCGGUCUACCAGAACACGUCCGACGGUGAGGGAUGAAAGCUGGGGGAGCAAACCGGAUUAGAUACCCGAGUAGUCC
RNAcentral lists this ribosomal RNA (270 nucleotides) under uncultured archaeon. Its description in RNAcentral is "partial 16S ribosomal RNA". It matches the Rfam family "Archaeal small subunit ribosomal RNA", at positions 477 to 747 of the family's 1478-position model. The record is from RNAcentral.